GAACCUGCGGAGGGAUCAUUACCGAGUUAUACAACUCAUCAACCCUGUGAACAUACCUAAACGUUGCUUCGGCGGGAACAGACGGCCCCGUAACACGGGCCGCCCCCGCCAGAGGACCCCCUAACUCUGUUUCUAUAAUGUUUCUUCUGAGUAAAACAAGCAAAUAAAUUAAAACUUUCAACAACGGAUCUCUUGGCUCUGGCAUCGAUGAAGAACGCAGCGAAAUGCGAUAAGUAAUGUGAAUUGCAGAAUUCAGUGAAUCAUCGAAUCUUUGAACGCACAUUGCGCCCGCCAGUAUUCUGGCGGGCAUGCCUGUUCGAGCGUCAUUACAACCCUCAGGCCCCCGGGCCUGGCGUUGGGGAUCGGCGGAGCCCCCCGCGGGCACACGCCGUCCCCCAAAUACAGUGGCGGUCCCGCCGCAGCUUCCAUUGCGUAGUAGCUAACACCUCGCAACUGGAGAGCGGCGCGGCCACGCCGUAAAACCCCCAACUUCUGAACGUUGACCUCGAAUCAGGUAGGAAUACCCGCUGAACUUAAGCAUAUCAAUAAGCG
Molecule: ribosomal RNA, 552 nt
Filed under: Fusarium solani
Lineage: Eukaryota; Fungi; Ascomycota; Sordariomycetes; Hypocreales; Nectriaceae
Description: eukaryotic LSU rRNA
Rfam family: 5.8S ribosomal RNA (bases 173-326)
Source: RNAcentral